AGAGUUUGAUCCUGGCUCAGAUUGAACGCUGGCGGAAUGCUUUACACAUGCAAGUCGAACGGCAGCACGGGGGCAACCCUGGUGGCGAGUGGCGAACGGGUGAGUAAUACAUCGGAACGUGCCCAAUCGUGGGGGAUAACGUAGCGAAAGCUACGCUAAUACCGCAUACGAUCUACGGAUGAAAGCGGGGGAUCGCAAGACCUCGCGCGAAUGGAGCGGCCGAUGGCAGAUUAGGUAGUUGGUGGGGUAAAGGCUCACCAAGCCGACGAUCUGUAGCUGGUCUGAGAGGAUGGCCAGCCACAUUGGGACUGAGAUGCGGCCAGACUCCUACGGGAGGCAGCAGGUGGGGAAUAUUGCGCAAUGGACCGAAAGGCUGACGCAGCGACGCCGCGUGGGGAUGAAGCAUUUCGGUGUGUAAACCCCUGUUGCCCGGGACGAACAACUGGUUUUGACCAGUCUGACGGUACCGGGUGAGGAAGCACCGGCUAACUCCGUG
This 496-nucleotide ribosomal RNA is filed under the name uncultured bacterium. Its description in RNAcentral is "bacterial SSU rRNA". It matches the Rfam family "Bacterial small subunit ribosomal RNA", at positions 8 to 507 of the family's 1533-position model. The record is from RNAcentral.